RNAcentral lists this ribosomal RNA (497 nucleotides) under uncultured bacterium. Its description in RNAcentral is "partial 16S ribosomal RNA". It matches the Rfam family "Bacterial small subunit ribosomal RNA", at positions 28 to 507 of the family's 1533-position model. The record is from RNAcentral.
GACGAACGCUGGCGGCGUGCCUAAUACAUGCAAGUUGAGCGCUGAAGGUUGGUACUUGUACCAACUGGAUGAGCAGCGCACGGGUGAGUAACGCGUGGGGAAUCUGCCUUUGAGCGGGGGACAACAUUUGGAAACGAAUGCUAAUACCGCAUAAAAACUUUAAACACAAGUUUUAAGUUUGAAAGAUGCAAUUGCAUCACUCAAAGAUGAUCCCGCGUUGUAUUAGCUAGUUGGUGAGGUAAAGGCUCACCAAGGCGAUGAUACAUAGCCGACCUGAGAGGGUGAUCGGCCGACUUGGGACUGAGACACGGCCCAAACUCCUACGGGAGGCAGCAGUAGGGAAUCUUCGGCAAUGGACGAAAGUCUGACCGAGCAACGCCGCGUGAGUGAAGAAGGUUGUCGGAUCGUAAAACUCUGUUGGUAGAGAAGAACGUUGGUGAGAGUGGAAAGCUCAUCAAGUGACGGUAACUACCCAGAAAGGGACGGCUAACUACGUG